UUGUAUUUCAUAUUCUUUAACCCUAUAUUCACAUUAUCACUAGUUGAUCUUUAAUGAAUAUGUAGAUCUAACUUUUAUUGGCUAUGUUUUAUUAUCAUUUUUCACACUCUGUGGUUCAGUAAUUGACCGGAGACUAUACCAUAUAAGGCCUAAUCACAACUUAGUCUUCUUUUUUAUUUUUUCUUUAUUUAGGAGACCAAUUGUUAAAGAUAUGAACUUGGUACUGUUUUCAUGGCUUUAUGUGGGGUUUUUAUGUUCUUUUAUUCAUUUUGCACUUAUAAUUUUACUGGAUUGUAGUUUUUACAUUAUGUUUUAAUAGAUAGUAGUUUCAUGAAUGAUGAAGUUUAUGUUGCCAUAUAGAGUAGUUUGUGAUGAUAUACUUCAUAAACUUUCACUUGUGUUAAAUUUGUAAUGAUAAAAUUUAUAUUAUAAAAUAAAAAUUACUUAUAAGACUGGGCAUUACAACAUAUGAAAGACAAAUUGUAUUACAUAUUUUACUUUUGACUCUAAUAUGAAUAUCUCAAUUUAAAUUUUUUAUUUUAUUUUCUCUUUCUUUUUACAGGUAUAAAAUGUGAGAAUUGAAGCAAGAUUGAUUGCAAGCUAUGUGUCACCACAUUAUUGAUACUUUGGAAGGAAUUUUUACUUAUAUGUCUUUGUUUAGGAGUAAUAUUUGAUAUAUUUUAGUUAGAUUUUCUUGUCAUUGGACAUAUUUUACUUUUAUUUAAGGAGUUUGUAAUGAGAUAUUAUUCUUUAGUAUAAUUUUAGUUAUUUUUAUUAUAUGAUCAUGGGUGAAUUUUGAUAUAAAUAUUUGUCAUUUAAUAAAUUAAUUCAUCACAACUUGAUUACUUUCAAU
Molecule: long non-coding RNA, 853 nt
Filed under: Solanum tuberosum (potato)
Lineage: Eukaryota; Viridiplantae; Streptophyta; Magnoliopsida; Solanales; Solanaceae
Description: long non-coding RNA (STUB_LNC009761)
Source: RNAcentral